RNAcentral lists this ribosomal RNA (483 nucleotides) under uncultured bacterium. RNAcentral's name for it is "partial 16S ribosomal RNA". It matches the Rfam family "Bacterial small subunit ribosomal RNA", at positions 30 to 506 of the family's 1533-position model. The record is from RNAcentral.
AUUGAACGCUGGCGGCAGGCCUAACACAUGCAAGUCGAGCGGAUGAAGGGAGCUUGCUCCUGGAUUCAGCGGCGGACGGGUGAGUAAUGCCUAGGAAUCUGCCUGGUAGUGGGGGAUAACGUCCGGAAACGGGCGCUAAUACCGCAUACGUCCUGAGGGAGAAAGUGGGGGAUCUUCGGACCUCACGCUAUCAGAUGAGCCUAGGUCGGAUUAGCUAGUUGGUGGGGUAAAGGCCUACCAAGGCGACGAUCCGUAACUGGUCUGAGAGGAUGAUCAGUCACACUGGAACUGAGACACGGUCCAGACUCCUACGGGAGGCAGCAGUGGGGAAUAUUGGACAAGGGGCGAAAGCCUGAUCCAGCCAUGCCGCGUGUGUGAAGAAGGUCUUCGGAUUGUAAAGCACUUUAAGUUGGGAGGAAGGGCAGUAAGUUAAUACCUUGCUGUUUUGACGUUACCAACAGAAUAAGCGCCGGCUAACUUCGU